UCGGGGACUCUAGAGAUUAGAGUUUGAUCCUGGCUCAGGAUGAACGCUGGCGGCGUGCCUAACACAUGCAAGUCGAGCGAGAAGGUUUGAACAGAUUCUUCGGAUGAAGUUGAAAUUGGAGAGCGGCGGACGGGUGAGUAACGCGUGGGUAACCUGCCCUAUGGAGGGGGAUAACUAAGAGAAAUCUUAGCUAAUACCGCAUAAGCGCACAGUAUCGCAUGAUACAGUGUGAAAAACUCCGGUGCCAUAGGAUGGACCCGCGUCAGAUUAGCUAGUUGGUGAGAUAAAAGCUCACCAAGGCGACGAUCUGUAGCCGACCUGAGAGGGUGAUCGGCCACAUUGGGACUGAGACACGGCCCAAACUCCUACGGGAGGCAGCAGUGGGGGAUAUUGCACAAUGGGCGAAAGCCUGAUGCAGCAACGCCGCGUGAAGGAAGACGGUUUUCGGAUUGUAAACUUCUAUCAGCAGGGAAGAAAAAAGACGGUACCUGACUAAGAAGCCCCGGCUAACUACGUGCCAGCAGCCGCGGUAAUACGUAGGGGGCAAGCGUUAUCCGGAAUUACUGGGUGUAAAGGGUACGUAGGCGGCCCAUUAAGUCAGAUGUGAAAGCCCGGAGCUCAACUCCGGGAUUGCAUUUGAAACUGGUGGGCUAGAGUACAGGAGAGGAAAGUGGAAUUCCUAGUGUAGCGGUGAAAUGCGUAGAUAUUAGGAAGAACACCAGUGGCGAAGGCGGCUUUCCGGACUGUAACUGACGCUGAGGUACGAAAGCGUGGGGAGCGAACAGGAUUAGAUACCCUGGUAGUCCACGCCGUAAACGAUGAAUGCUAGGUGUCGGGAGUCGAAUCUCGGUGCCGCAGUUAACGCAAUAAGCAUUCCACCUGGGGAGUACGGUCGCAAGACUGAAACUCAAAGGAAUUGACGGGGGCCCGCACAAGCGGUGGAGCAUGUGGUUUAAUUUGAAGCAACGCGAAGAACCUUACCAAAUCUUGACAUCCUUCUGACCGAUCCUUAAUCGGAUCUUUCCUUCGGGACAGAAGUGACAGGUGGUGCAUGGUUGUCGUCAGCUCGUGUCGUGAGAUGUUGGGUUAAGUCCCGCAACGAGCGCAACCCUUAUUUUUAGUAGCCAGCAUUUCGGAUGGGAACUCUAGAGAGACUGCCGGGGAUAACUCGGAGGAAGGUGGGGAUGACGUCAAAUCAUCAUGCCCUUUAUGAUUUGGGCUACACACGUGCUACAAUGGCGGAUACAAAGAGAAGCGACAGGGUGACCUUAAGCAAACCUCAUAAAGUCCGUCCCAGUUCGGAUUGUAGUCUGCAACUCGACUACAUGAAGUUGGAAUCGCUAGUAAUCGCAGAUCAGAAUGCUGCGGUGAAUACGUUCCCGGGCCUUGUACACACCGCCCGUCACACCAUGGAAGUUGGAGGCGCCCAACGCCAGUGACCCAACCGUAAGGAGGGAGCUGUCUAAGGCGAAAUCAAUGACUAGGGUGAAGUCGUAACAAGGCCGUAAAUCGUCGACUGCAGCAGCAG
This 1528-nucleotide ribosomal RNA is filed under the name uncultured Clostridia bacterium. RNAcentral's name for it is "bacterial SSU rRNA". It matches the Rfam family "Bacterial small subunit ribosomal RNA". Lineage: Bacteria; Bacillati; Bacillota; Clostridia. The record is from RNAcentral.